GACGAACGCUGGCGGCGUGCUUAACACAUGCAAGUCGAACGGUGAAGCGCCUUCCUUUUUGGUGGGUGUGGAUGAGUGGCGAACGGGUGAGUAACACGUGAGUAACCUGCCCCCUUCUUCUGGAUAACCGCAUGAAAGUGUGGCUAAUACGGGAUAUUCUGGGUCUGUCGCAUGAUGGGUCUGGGAAAGAUAUUGUUUCGGUGGGGGAUGGGCUCGCGGCCUAUCAGCUUGUUGGUGGGGUGAUGGCCUACCAAGGCGGUGACGGGUAGCCGGCCUGAGAGGGUGGACGGUCACACUGGGACUGAGACACGGCCCAGACUCCUACGGGGGGCAGCAGUGGGGAAUAUUGCACAAUGGGCGCAAGCCUGAUGCAGCGACGCCGCGGGAGGGAUGGAGGCCUUCGGGUUGUGAACCUCUUUCGCCAGUGAAGCAGGCCUGCCUCGUUUGUGGGUGGGUUGACGGUAGCUGGAUAAGAAGCGCCGGCUAACUACGUG
RNAcentral lists this ribosomal RNA (494 nucleotides) under uncultured bacterium. RNAcentral describes it as "partial 16S ribosomal RNA". It matches the Rfam family "Bacterial small subunit ribosomal RNA", at positions 28 to 507 of the family's 1533-position model. The record is from RNAcentral.